This is a long non-coding RNA of Branchiostoma floridae (Florida lancelet), 1072 nucleotides long. RefSeq lists it as uncharacterized. The transcript has 3 exons. Lineage: Eukaryota; Metazoa; Chordata; Leptocardii; Amphioxiformes; Branchiostomatidae. The record is from RefSeq and is a predicted model, not a curated record.
CGAUACGUACAAGGUUUAUUCCGCAAUAUUGUUUUCUCGCGAGGAUUGACGAGAUCAUCAGCGCUCUUCAAUACAACCCUUCGUUGAUCUAGGAUCAAAACAAACGAGUCAGUCUGGCCUACGUGCGGCAACGGUCUCAACAUGGACGCCAUAUACUUUUUCCUCCAGAUUCUUGUGUGUACCUUGGUAAUUCUGGAGGUCUUAGCCGUCCUCUUCUAUUUGUGUAAGACUUGCCAUGAUGAUGACAAGAGGCGCAGAGAAGAGUACGAGUUUUCCGCCGCCGAGUCCUUCGAGCUGACAAGCGCCGUCAUCAUUGAGCUUUCCCUGGACUCCACUGACGACAAGCCGAAGACAUAGCACUGUUCUCUUGGAAUUGCGGCUUGGACUCAUCCAGCGGAAACUCUGAACUACAACUGAAUUUCAGCCUCAAAACGAAUUUAUAUUUCCAUCACGUAAAUAAGAUUUUCGCGUAGAUAGGAUCAAGGUUUCACUGAAAGCUAUGCGCUACAAAGCCGAAAUUACUUUAUAUGAGUGGAAUAAUUGAUUCAGAUAUGGAUAAAUCCUUCUGAUGAAAAUAAUAAGCUACACUUUCAUAUUGUUGCUAUGGUUUGCAGUAUAUCCGCAGGGCUAUGUGUUUGGAAUAUGAUUGCGCUCCGUCCAAUUAUUGCUGGCGUACAAGGCGUAUGAUGUUUUUGCCUGACAUAUGUUGCCAUGUUUGGUCGUGUUUAUGUUAGUCAGUAGCUUCGCAUCUUCUUCAGCAGUGUAUAUAUUAAAUACUGUUAACAUUCACGAAGACCCUGGAGUCCAAAAUUGACUUCCUGUGACGUCACGACAAUUUGUGGGAAGAAUAUGAGUCAUCAGGGACAAGGUGAAUUUUCUACCGAGCAAGCAUUGCGCUGACAUUUCGAUUGAUUGGCUACUAUUAAUACUAAUAGCCAGCAAAUAACAGAACCAUUUAGCAACCACUGUUCCUGACUAGGUUGACCUUCACUUCAGUGAAGGACGCUCUCACAGUCUUAGACCAUGUUGAUUUGAUUUUAUGGAUGACAUCCACAGGGAAUCCAAAAACUGA